GCGCAGGAAAAGAAACCAACAGGGAUUGCCUUAGUAACUGCGAGUGAAGCGGCAAAAGCUCAAAUUUGAAAUCUGGCGUCUUCGGCGUCCGAGUUGUAAUUUGGAGAGAUUUCUUCGGGGUGAACACCGGUCCAAGUUCCUUGGAACAGGACGUCACAGAGGGUGAGAAUCCCGUGUCUGACCGGUUGCUUCAUUCCAUGUGAAGAGUCUUCGACGAGUCGAGUUGUUUGGGAAUGCAGCUCAAAAUGGGUGGUAAAUUUCAUCUAAAGCUAAAUAUUGGCGAGAGACCGAUAGCGCACAAGUAGAGUGAUCGAAAGAUGAAAAGCACUUUGAAAAGAGAGUUAAAAAGUACGUGAAAUUGUUGAAAGGGAAGCGCUUGAGACCAGACUCAAUUUGUGGUGAGCAUCAGUCCUUCUGGGCUGUGCACUUGCCACUUUUUGGGCCAGCAUCGGUUCUGACCGUGUGAUAAAGGUCCUGGGAAUGUAGCUCCUCUCGGGGAGUGUUAUAGCCCAGGGCGUAAUGACAUGAGUUGGGACCGAGGACCGCGCUUCGGCUAGGAUGCUGGCAUAAUGGUCUUCAGCGACCCGUCUUGAAACACGGACCAAGGAGUCUAACAUCUAUGCGAGUGUUCGGGUGGGAAACCCUUGCGCGUAAUGAAAGUGAACGGAGGUGGGAACCCCUCGGGUGCAGCAUCGACCGAUCCUGAUGUUCUCGGAUGGAUUUGAAUCGUCAACCUGCGAGCAUGCAAGCCUGAUCACUGGCCGUCGGUCUACACGUCACGACGGGGAAACGGUAACCCCCUAAAG
RNAcentral lists this ribosomal RNA (806 nucleotides) under uncultured Ascodesmis. RNAcentral's name for it is "eukaryotic LSU rRNA". It matches the Rfam family "Eukaryotic large subunit ribosomal RNA", at positions 50 to 966 of the family's 3401-position model. The record is from RNAcentral. Lineage: Eukaryota; Fungi; Ascomycota; Pezizomycetes; Pezizales; Ascodesmidaceae.